AUUGUCUUCAGUCUAAGCAUACAAGUUGCAUUGUAUUUAAAUAAUAUUACAAUAUUUCAAAACUAUGAAAUAUGGUUAAUUAAAUCCAACAUAACCCGUUCAAUUUAAAAUAAAUGAAGGUUUAAUCUGAAGAAGUUUGUCCCAUCAGGCUUGUCGUACUAUAGACUUUACACAUGCGCAGUCUGGAGAAUUAUUUUCCCCGCCCUUUUUCAAUCACUGGAUGAACGACGGCGGUUGGUUUUCUGCUGAAGUAAAUAUCAACUAUUUCGUCACCCACGGACAAUUCGAAUUCCAGCAUUGAUGUGAAGAGGGAAUGCAUCUUAAAAGCACUUUGCGUCUACUUUAAUGAAAACCCAAACGACAUCAUCAGAGAAUAUGUGGACGUUGAUCUUGCAGCUGGACAAACCA
Long non-coding RNA from Oryzias melastigma (Indian medaka), 408 nucleotides. RefSeq lists it as uncharacterized. Lineage: Eukaryota; Metazoa; Chordata; Actinopteri; Beloniformes; Adrianichthyidae. The transcript is spliced from 3 exons. The record is from RefSeq and is a predicted model, not a curated record.